UAACAACAACUGUAUGUAAAGACCCAAAAACUACAACUACCUGUAGCCUGGUGCUCCUCUAGCUCUGCAACUCGACUGGAAGAGCUCUAACUCGCGACGCCCUUGCCACGAUCAAGAUCAGCAAUAGCAGCAGCCGAAGGCGACGGCUCUGCAAAACAAUGGUAACAAUUGGGCGUGAGAACUACUACAAAAAGAAGUAGUCCUCAGUGGGUAUCGCCCUCAAACUCAUCAGUCCACCCACUAAGUCUACAGGAAUAAGCAGGAAUAGUAAAAAAAGCUAGAACAAAUCUACAGCUAAAUACCGCUAUACUAUUAUGCUUUAACUCUAACCCUCUGUAGAACAAUAUCAACUCAGACCCGAUCUCAAAUAAGAACUGUAAUCAUACCUGUCCCUGGGACUGUGAACACAUCCGUCCCGCCCGGUUGCGACUAUACAGCUACCUCCACACUAACCAGUCUGUGGA
RNAcentral lists this long non-coding RNA (464 nucleotides) under Ananas comosus (pineapple). RNAcentral's name for it is "long non-coding RNA (ACOM_LNC042920)". The record is from RNAcentral. Lineage: Eukaryota; Viridiplantae; Streptophyta; Magnoliopsida; Poales; Bromeliaceae.